UGGGGGGCCUACGGGAGGCAGCAGUGGGGAAUAUUGCACAAUGGGGGAAACCCUGAUGCAGCGACGCAGCGUGCGGGAUGACGGCCUUCGGGUUGUAAACCGCUUUCAGCAGGGAAGAAGCCUUGAUCGGUGACGGUACCUGCAGAAGAAGUACCGGCUAACUACGUGCCAGCAGCCGCGGUAAUACGUAGGGUACAAGCGUUGUCCGGAAUUAUUGGGCGUAAAGAGCUCGUAGGUGGUUGGUCACGUCUGCUGUGGAAACGCAACGCUUAACGUUGCGCGUGCAGUGGGUACGGGCUGACUAGAGUGCAGUAGGGGAGUCUGGAAUUCCUGGUGUAGCGGUGAAAUGCGCAGAUAUCAGGAGGAACACCGGUGGCGAAGGCGGGACUCUGGGCUGUAACUGACACUGAGGAGCGAAAGCAUGGGGAGCGAACAGGAUUAGAUACCCUGGUAGUCCAUGCCGUAAACGUUGGGCACUAGGUGUGGGGGACAUUCCACGUUCUCCGCGCCGUAGCUAACGCAUUAAGUGCCCGCGCC
This 537-nucleotide ribosomal RNA is filed under the name Brevibacterium marinum. RNAcentral describes it as "bacterial SSU rRNA". It matches the Rfam family "Bacterial small subunit ribosomal RNA", at positions 331 to 873 of the family's 1533-position model. The record is from RNAcentral. Lineage: Bacteria; Bacillati; Actinomycetota; Actinomycetes; Micrococcales; Brevibacteriaceae.